Molecule: non-coding RNA, 24 nt
Filed under: Arabidopsis thaliana (thale cress)
Lineage: Eukaryota; Viridiplantae; Streptophyta; Magnoliopsida; Brassicales; Brassicaceae
Source: RNAcentral
CCUACAUCAGUCUCCUCCACCUCU